CGGGGCCACAGCUAUUCUAGUGGGAUCUUCCAUAGGCAGGACUGUAUUAGUUACUUUUCAAGGACUGAGAGCCUCAGCAAACAAUUUUACAGAUCUCCAACGACCCGUUGUCAUGAACAGCAAACCUCGGUCCCUCCACGGAUUCAGAAGAGUCAUCCCUGCUCCUGUUAAACAUUCAGAAAAUAAAAGCCAUUUAAGUCUCAAAGUUCACUCAGGUCAAAUUAAAUAUGAACACCUCAGCGGUCUAAAGGGAUAAACAUCGCACUGUGGCAGGAAAGAUGAAAUAAAAGUUGCUGAAUAGAACAUUA
Molecule: long non-coding RNA, 308 nt
Organism: Thunnus maccoyii (southern bluefin tuna)
Lineage: Eukaryota; Metazoa; Chordata; Actinopteri; Scombriformes; Scombridae
Exons: 2
Source: RefSeq, a predicted model, not a curated record